Molecule: long non-coding RNA, 336 nt
Filed under: Vigna radiata
Lineage: Eukaryota; Viridiplantae; Streptophyta; Magnoliopsida; Fabales; Fabaceae
Description: long non-coding RNA (VRAD_LNC006829)
Source: RNAcentral
GUAAGUAGACACCUUUUGUAUUUAGCAAGACUCUAACAUUCACGUACUUUAGAAAACAUACAAUUAUUGAUCAUGAGGGCUUUUUAAAAGUUAUAUUGAGGCCAAGGCAAAGGUAGGAAUUUUUUUUUUUUUUUUGGAAUUUUUGGUUUUUGAAAUUGAUAUAGAAAGAGCAAUGGCAUUUGAUUUCAAAAACAACUUUAUAUAUUUUUUUCUUUUUAGGAAGAUUUUUUUCCCUUUUUUUUCAUCAUUUUUUUUUUCAAAACUUCAACUUCUCAUCUUCCUUUUUGCCUUCCUUUUUUUUUUUAUUUUGUGGUGAGACACUCACCAACACACUUA